UACCUACCCUUGACAUGCCAGGAACCCUGCAGAAAUGCAGGGGUGCCCGAAAGGGAACCUGGACACAGGUGCUGCAUGGCUGUCGUCAGCUCGUGUCGUGAGAUGUUGGGUUAAGUCCCGCAACGAGCGCAACCCUUGUCAUUAGUUGCUACAUUCAGUUGGGCACUCUAAUGAGACUGCCGGUGACAAACCGGAGGAAGGUGGGGAUGACGUGGACGUCAUAACC
RNAcentral lists this unclassified non-coding RNA (226 nucleotides) under uncultured Gammaproteobacteria bacterium. Its description in RNAcentral is "contains 16S-23S intergenic spacer region". It matches the Rfam family "Bacterial small subunit ribosomal RNA", at positions 972 to 1200 of the family's 1533-position model. Lineage: Bacteria; Pseudomonadati; Pseudomonadota; Gammaproteobacteria. The record is from RNAcentral.